GGUGAACGCUGACAGAAUGCUUAACACAUGCAAGUCAACUUGAACUUCGGUUUGGGUGGCGGACGGGUGAGUAACGCGUAAAGAACUUGCCUCACAGCUAGGGACAACAUUUGGAAACGAAUGCUAAUACCUGAUAUUAUGAUUAUAUGGCAUCGUAUAAUUAUGAAAGCUAUAUGCGCUGUGAGAGAGCUUUGCGUCCCAUUAGCUAGUUGGAGAGGUAACAGCUCACCAAGGCGAUGAUGGGUAGCCGGCCUGAGAGGGUGAUCGGCCACAAGGGGACUGAGACACGGCCCUUACUCCUACGGGAGGCAGCAGUGGGGAAUAUUGGACAAUGGACCGAGAGUCUGAUCCAGCAAUUCUGUGUGCACGAUGAAGUUUUUCGGAAUGUAAAGUGCUUUCAGUUGGGAAGAAAAAAAUGACGGUACCAACAGAAGAAGAGACGGCUAAAUACGUG
This 454-nucleotide ribosomal RNA is filed under the name uncultured bacterium. RNAcentral's name for it is "partial 16S ribosomal RNA". It matches the Rfam family "Bacterial small subunit ribosomal RNA", at positions 28 to 507 of the family's 1533-position model. The record is from RNAcentral.